AGCACGAUCCUACGGGGGCAGCAGUGGGGAAUAUUGCACAAUGGGGGAAACCCUGAUGCAGCGACGCCGCGUGAGCGAGGAAGUAUUUCGGUAUGUAAAGCUCUGUCAGCGGGGAAGAAAGAAAUGACGGUACCCGACCAAGAAGCACCGGCUAAAUACGUGCC
This 164-nucleotide ribosomal RNA is filed under the name uncultured bacterium. Its description in RNAcentral is "partial 16S ribosomal RNA". It matches the Rfam family "Bacterial small subunit ribosomal RNA", at positions 329 to 509 of the family's 1533-position model. The record is from RNAcentral.